Molecule: ribosomal RNA, 486 nt
Filed under: uncultured bacterium
Lineage: Bacteria
Description: partial 16S ribosomal RNA
Rfam family: Bacterial small subunit ribosomal RNA
Source: RNAcentral
AUUGAACGCUGGCGGCAUGCCUUACACAUGCAAGUCGAACGGCAGCACGGGUGCUUGCACCUGGUGGCGAGUGGCGAACGGGUGAGUAAUACAUCGGAACAUGUCCUGUAGUGGGGGAUAGCCCGGCGAAAGCCGGAUUAAUACCGCAUACGAUCUACGGAUGAAAGCGGGGGACCUUCGGGCCUCGCGCUAUAGGGUUGGCCGAUGGCUGAUUAGCUAGUUGGUGGGGUAAAGGCCUACCAAGGCGACGAUCAGUAGCUGGUCUGAGAGGACGACCAGCCACACUGGGACUGAGACACGGCCCAGACUCCUACGGGAGGCAGCAGUGGGGAAUUUUGGACAAAGGGCGAAAGCCUGAUCCAGCAAUGCCGCGUGUGUGAAGAAGGCCUUCGGGUUGUAAAGCACUUUUAUCCGGAAAGAAAUCCUUGGCCCUAAUACGAUCGGGGGAUGACGGUACCGGAAGAAUAAGCACCGGCUAACUACGUG